CCUCCCUGACGUCCUUCGUUGGGAGCGGCGCUUCCGGGACUGCGGUGACGCAGCGCCAUCCUCGGACCAAAGGGAGCUGAUCGGCACCAGUUUGCCGGUCGGACCCCACAUGAGAUCCCUGCGCUCCAAGGGGGAAUGGCGGAGUGUCUCGGCUUCCAUGGCGCGCAGGACCUCCCACGUUACCUCGUCAAAAUUGUCCCAUUUUUUUGCGGGAGAGCUCUCGUGCUGGCGACAUCUGUCAAGACUCGGUCUUUGACGUGGUUUGCUCUCCCGUGGUGCAAAAGAAAUGGAACGGACGUGGCGUGCAGGUGGUGACCCAUCAGCCUUACUGUCCUGUUACCCUGUACAAUGUGUGCCUGCUCUCCAACGGUGAAGCAUGGCGGUGGCAGCAUCAUGGCUGCGGGGGUGUUUUUCAGCGGCCAAAACCGGGAGGGAAAUAUGAAUGCAGCAACGUGCAGAGACAUCCUGGAUGAAAACUAACGCUUCUAUCCGACCUGAUGGAGCUUGAGAGGUGUUAAAAGUUAAAGUUAAAGUACACACACACUAAGUGUGGUGAAAAUUACUCUCUGCAUUUGACCC
This is a long non-coding RNA of Entelurus aequoreus (snake pipefish), 579 nucleotides long. RefSeq lists it as uncharacterized. The record is from RefSeq and is a predicted model, not a curated record. NCBI's taxonomy places the organism in Eukaryota, Metazoa, Chordata, Actinopteri, Syngnathiformes, Syngnathidae. The transcript has 3 exons.